Molecule: ribosomal RNA, 253 nt
Filed under: uncultured bacterium
Lineage: Bacteria
Description: partial 16S ribosomal RNA
Rfam family: Bacterial small subunit ribosomal RNA
Source: RNAcentral
UACGUAGGGUGCGAGCGUUGUCCGGAAUUAUUGGGCGUAAAGAGCUCGUAGGCGGUCUGUCGCGUCGAAUGUGAAAACCCGGGGCUCAACUCCGGGCUUGCAUUCGAUACGGGCAGGCUAGAGUUCGGUAGGGGAGUCUGGAAUUCCUGGUGUAGCGGUGAAAUGCGUAGAUAUCAGGAGGAACACCGGUGGCGAAGGCGGUUCUCUGGGCAUUACCUGACGCUGAGGAGCGAAAGCGUGGGGAGCGAACAGG